Molecule: long non-coding RNA, 1494 nt
Organism: Poecile atricapillus (Black-capped chickadee)
Lineage: Eukaryota; Metazoa; Chordata; Aves; Passeriformes; Paridae
Exons: 3
Source: RefSeq, a predicted model, not a curated record
GUGACACAGGAGGUGACACAGGAGGUGACACAGGAGGUGACACAGGAGGUGACAGGAGGUGACAGGAGGUGACACAGGAGGUGACACAGGAGGUGACACAGGAGGUGACACAGGAGGUGACAGGAGGUGACAGGAGGUGACAGGAGGUGACACAGGAGGUGACACAGGAGGUGACAGGAGGUGACACAGGAGGUGACACAGGAGGUGACACAGGAGGUGACAGGAGGUGACAGGAGGUGACAGGAGGUGACACAGGAGGUGACAGGAGGUGACACAGGAGGUGACACAGGAGGUGACACAGGAGGUGACAGGAGGUGACACAGGAGGUGACAGGAGGUGACACAGGAGGUGACACAGGAGGUGACAGGAGGUGACACAGGAGGUGACACAGGAGGUGACACAGGAGGUGACAGGAGGUGACAGGAGGUGACACAGGAGGUGACAGGAGGUGACAGGAGGUGACACAGGAGGUGACAGGAGGUGACACAGGAGGUGACACAGGAGGUGACACAGGAGGUGACAGGAGGUGACAGGAGGUGACACAGGAGGUGACAGGAGGUGACACAGGAGGUGACACAGGAGGUGACAGGAGGUGACACAGGAGGUGACACAGGAGGUGACACAGGAGGUGACACAGGAGGUGACAGGAGGUGACAGGAGGUGACACAGGAGGUGACACAGGAGGUGACACAGGAGGUGACACAGGAGGUGACACAGGAGGUGACAGGAGGUGACACAGGAGGUGACACAGGAGGUGACAGGAGGUGACACAGGAGGUGACAGGAGGUGACACAGGAGGUGACACAGGAGGUGACAGGAGGUGACACAGGAGGUGACAGGAGGUGACAGGAGGUGACACAGGAGGUGACACAGGAGGUGACAGGAGGUGACACAGGAGGUGACACAGGAGGUGACACAGGAGGUGACACAGGAGGUGACAGGAGGUGACAGGAGGUGACACAGGAGGUGACAGGAGGUGACAGGAGGUGACACAGGAGGUGACACAGGAGGUGACAGGAGGUGACACAGGAGGUGACACAGGAGGUGACACAGGAGGUGACACAGGAGGUGACAGGAGGUGACACAGGAGGUGACACAGGAGGUGACAGGAGGUGACAGGAGGUGACACAGGAGGUGACACAGGAGGUGACAGGAGGUGACAGGAGGUGACACAGGAGGUGACACAGGAGGUGACACAGGAGGUGACACAGGAGGUGACAGGAGGUGACACAGGAGGUGACACAGGAGGUGACAGGAGGUGACACAGGAGGUGACACAGGAGGUGACACAGGAGGUGACAGGAGGUGACACAGGAGGUGACAGGAGGUGACACAGGAGGUGACACAGGAGGUGACACAGGAGGUGACACAGGAGGUGACAGGAGGUGACACAGGAGGUGACACAGGAGGUGACACAGGAGGUGACAGGAGGUGACACAGGAGGUGACAGGAGGUGACACAGGAGGUGACACAGGAGGUGACACAGGAGGUGACA